This 253-nucleotide ribosomal RNA is filed under the name uncultured Alphaproteobacteria bacterium. RNAcentral describes it as "partial 16S ribosomal RNA". It matches the Rfam family "Bacterial small subunit ribosomal RNA", at positions 524 to 776 of the family's 1533-position model. Lineage: Bacteria; Pseudomonadati; Pseudomonadota; Alphaproteobacteria. The record is from RNAcentral.
GACGGAGGGUGCUAGCGUUGUUCGGAAUCACUGGGCGUAAAGGGCGCGUAGGCGGCCAAGGAAGUCGGAUGUGAAAGCCCGGGGCUCAACCUCGGAGGUGCAUCCGAGACUCUUUGGCUGGAGGCCGGAAGAGGAGGGUGGAAUACCCAGUGUAGAGGUGAAAUUCGUAGAUAUUGGGUGGAACACCGGUGGCGAAAGCGGCUCUCUGGUCCGGACCUGACGCUGAGGCGCGAAAGCGUGGGGAGCAAACAGG